ACUCCUUUAAUUUUUGUACAUAUUUCUUGAGAUAUGUUAAAUUCCACCAAUAGUGCAACAUUACUUUAUGAAUGCAGGAGUUGAAGGGAUUGGAAAUGUUCGUGCUGUGCAACUCAUCUCUAAAUUUGGCACAUUGGAGAACUUGUUGAAAUGUGUUGAUCAAGUUGAAGGAGAACGUAUUAGAGAGACCUUGAUAACUCAUGCUGAUCAAGCUAUCCUAAGCAAGAACGUGGUAU
Long non-coding RNA from Pistacia vera, 236 nucleotides. RefSeq lists it as uncharacterized. The record is from RefSeq and is a predicted model, not a curated record. The transcript is spliced from 3 exons. NCBI's taxonomy places the organism in Eukaryota, Viridiplantae, Streptophyta, Magnoliopsida, Sapindales, Anacardiaceae.